CCUACGGGAGGCAGCAGUGGGGAAUUUUGGACAAUGGGCGCAAGCCUGAUCCAGCCAUGCCGCGUGCGGAAAGAAGGCCUUCGGGUUGUAAACCGCUUUUGUCAGGGAAGAAAUCCUUUGAGUUAAUACCUCGGGGGGAUGACGGUACCUGAAGAAUAAGCACCGGCUAACUACGUGCCAGCAGCCGCGGUAAUACGUAGGGUGCGAGCGUUAAUCGGAAUUACUGGGCGUAAAGCGUGCGCAGGCGGUCUUGCAAGACAGGUGUGAAAUCCCCGGGCUUAACCUGGGAACUGCACUUGUGACUGCAAGGCUGGAGUACGGCAGAGGGGGAUGGAAUUCCGCGUGUAGCAGUGAAAUGCGUAGAUAUGCGGAGGAACACCGAUGGCGAAGGCAAUCCCCUGGGCCUGUACUGACGCUCAUGCACGAAAGCGUGGGGAGCAAACAGGAUUAGAUACCCUGGUAGUCCACGCCCUAAACGAUGUCAACUGGUUGUUGGACGGCUUGCUGUUCAGUAACGAAGCUAACGCGUGAAGUUGACCGCCUGGGGAGGACGGCCGCGAGUAGUUAACGUUACUAAGUUAGAGUUAGACGGCGUUGAGACGNGCGACGGACGACGACGAGGGAGGAGG
This 629-nucleotide ribosomal RNA is filed under the name uncultured bacterium. Its description in RNAcentral is "bacterial SSU rRNA". The stretch from base 1 to 542 matches the Rfam family "Bacterial small subunit ribosomal RNA", at positions 338 to 873 of the family's 1533-position model. The record is from RNAcentral.